ACGAAGGGGACUAGCGUUGUUCGGAAUCACUGGGCGUAAAGAGCGAGUAGGUGGUAGAAUAAGUCAGAUGUGAAAUCCUUAAUCUUAAGUUAAGAAUGGCAUUUGAAACUGUGAUACUAGAGGACAGGAGGGGAUAGUGGAAUUCCAAGUGUAGAGGUGAAAUUCGUAGAUAUUUGGAGGAACACCGGAAGCGAAGGCGUCUAUCUGGCCUGUAACUGACACUGAGAAGCGAGAGCAUGGGUAGCAAACAGGA
Molecule: ribosomal RNA, 253 nt
Filed under: uncultured prokaryote
Description: partial 16S ribosomal RNA
Rfam family: Bacterial small subunit ribosomal RNA
Source: RNAcentral